Molecule: ribosomal RNA, 1548 nt
Filed under: Triticum aestivum (bread wheat)
Lineage: Eukaryota; Viridiplantae; Streptophyta; Magnoliopsida; Poales; Poaceae
Description: partial small subunit ribosomal RNA
Source: RNAcentral
AUGCCAAAGGGCGACGACGCGCUCGCGCGGAAGCGCGGGAAGGUGCGCCGGAAGCGGAUGCGCAGCAGCGAGAACGCCGUCUCCACGCGCGUCGCCGCCAUCAUCGCCUCCAAGCGCCGCCGCAAGACCGGUAAGCGCCGCGGCUGCGAGGGCAUGUGCUUCUCCCUCCCUUGCCCCGAGGACCCCUUCAACGAGCGCCACGGCAAGAAGCGCAAGACCGAAGACGCCGCCGACACCAACGACGACCACGAGAAGAAGAGCAAGGAUUCCAAGAAGCGGCCGCUGGAGCGGGCCACCGGUUGUAAUGCCAUACCCGUGCGGAAGAAGGAGACGGUGGAGGACCGGGUGGAGUAUGACCGGCCGUCUAAGUUCCUGGUGGUCUGCCUCAACGCGAUCCGGGAUGGGGCCGGGGCAUCUGAGGAGGACGGCGGGGGCAUCCACGACACCGCCUCCUGGGGCAUGGAGCUCUGGAAGUCCUGCGCGGCGUCCCCGCCUUCGGACGUGCUCGACACCAGCUACCAGUACGCCACCCGGGAGCAGACGGCGUGGCUCGUCUCCACGGCCUGCGACAUCGUCGCCAGGAAGGAGAAGCUCGGAGUGGUCGUCUCAUGCCCCUUCCUCCUCUAUCUCGUCCCUUCCCAGGAAAAGGCCGUGCAAGUGCGUUCAAUAUGUAAACCGCUGAAGUCUCUUGGAAUACAUUCAGUGAGCUUGCAUCCUGGCGCUUCCAUAGAGCACCAGAUUUCUGGAUUAAAGAGCUGUGAGCCCGAGUUUCUUAUAUCUACCCCGGAGAGGCUCCUUGAACUGGUCUCACUAAAGGCAAUUGACAUAUCGAAUGUAUCAAUGCUGGUCAUUGAUGGACUAAAGUAUUUCAUGGACCUUAAUAUCAUCAAAGAACUUCGUUCUAUUCGAGGUACCAUAUCAGGUGAUGCACAGGUAACUAUAUUUAGUGGUCAAUGUGACCAGAGUGCGGCAACAGUGGCAAGAAAUCUACUACACGGGAGAAUUACAAAGCUUACCACGAAUGAUUCUGUUACUUCUCGAAGUGCAUUUGUAGCACAGCAUGUACACUUCUGUACUAAAGAGGAGAAGACAUCAAAGGUCAAGGAAAUUCUUGAGAAUGUUUUAGAAAACCAUGCUAGUAAGACAGCAAAGGUUUUGCUAGUAGCCGUAAAUGAUCAUGAAGCACAGAAACUCUCUUCAUCCCUUAAACUGGAAAUUCUCACUGUGAAUGAUGGCUCACAAGGCAGCACCUUUACCGUAUGCAGCAGCAUGGGGCUUAUCAAUGUCCUUGUGAAAGGCUGUGAGAGCUUGGCAACAUCAGGUGUUGAGGAAUUUGAGAUUGUGUUGGUCGCGGACUUGCCUCCUUCAUUUGACGAUUAUGUUGAGAUCCUCACCAGGACAGCUCGUCACACGGUUGCAGGGGAGGUGCAUGUUAUCGUCUCUAAGACUGAUGCUGCUCAUGCAAAGCCCUUGGCUGAUGUUCUUGCAAACAGUGGACAGGCGGUGCCUAAGUUGCUAAGACAAUUAAUUGACAAGAAUCACUCCUGA